CCUACGGGAGGCAGCAGUGAGGAAUAUUGGUCAAUGGACGAGAGUCUGAACCAGCCAAGUAGCGUGAAGGAUGACUGCCCUAUGGGUUGUAAACUUCUUUUAUAUGGGAAUAAAAUGUUCCACGUGUGGGAUUUUGUAUGUACCAUAUGAAUAAGGAUCGGCUAACUCCGUGCCAGCAGCCGCGGUAAUACGGUGGAUCCGAGCGUUAUCCGGAUUUAUUGGGUUUAAAGGGAGCGUAGGUGGAUUGUUAAGUCAGUUGUGAAAGUUUGCGGCUCAACCGUAAAAUUGCAGUUGAAACUGGCAGUCUUGAGUACAGUAGAGGUGGGCGGAAUUCGUGGUGUAGCGGUGAAAUGCUUAGAUAUCACGAAGAACUCCGAUUGCGAAGGCAGUUCACUGGACUGCAACUGACACUGAGGCUCGAAAGUGUGGGUAUCAAACAGGAUUAGAUACCCGAGUAGUC
RNAcentral lists this ribosomal RNA (460 nucleotides) under uncultured bacterium. RNAcentral's name for it is "partial 16S ribosomal RNA". It matches the Rfam family "Bacterial small subunit ribosomal RNA", at positions 338 to 795 of the family's 1533-position model. The record is from RNAcentral.